UCAUGUCAUAUCAAAAACAUUUUCCUUCUACUAUUUUGUUGUUCAACAAAGUUGUUUAGAAUGUUCCUUGCUGUAUAUUAUUAUGGAAAGUCACCAACCCGAACAUGACAAAAACGGGUUACCUGACACGUUUUGGAAGACCCCACAGCGCGUACCGGGCAGGCCCCAGCGGGGAGUGGAGGUUAUGUCUGGGUCCUCGUAUCAGCAGUUCCAGGCGUCCGUAAACGACGCCUGGGACCUGGGGGACGACGAGAUCAUAUCAGGGAUCGCGGAGACGAAGAUAUCGAAAGCCAUAUCGCAAACCGCCGCUUUGAACGUUAUAAAUUCGCAUAGGAAUAGUACUAAGAAUGUGAAGACAGUGAAGACUGAGGUUGAGGGUGAAAAGGAGGAGAAGAAAGUGCAGAAGGAGGAUGCCGUGCCGGUGAGGAGGAGUGAGGGGAGGCGGAGCGGCCCCGGGGGCAGCGCGGGGCCGCUGCGGCACUACCCGGGGCGGCCGCGGGCGGUGCGGCUCUCGGCGCUCACCUCUCGCGAGGAGAGCAGUGAGUCUAAGCUGGAGAGGUUCCAGCAGCUGCAUGACAGUGCCGUCAUUAACUUGGAUGAGCUUAAGCAACUCAGCUGGUCCGGAAUUCCAGUAAAGGCUCGUGCCAACACAUGGCGUCUACUAGCAGGCUACCUCCCAGCCAACACCGAGCGUCGAACCGAGACCCUGGAGCGCAAGCGGGCGGACUACAAGCACUUAGUCAGACAGUACUACGAUGCGGAGAGAGACGAUGACACUUACAGGCAGAUACAUAUUGAUAUACCGAGGAUGAGUCCAUUGGUAGCGCUGUUUCAGCAACACACAGUUCAGGUGAUGUUCGAACGCAUCCUCUACAUCUGGGCGAUCCGUCACCCCGCCUCUGGGUACGUGCAAGGCAUCAAUGACCUUGUCACUCCAUUCUUCAUGGUGUUCCUACAAGAAGCCAUCCCUGGUGAAGAACUAGAUAACUACCCGCUGGAUAAACUAGAGGAAGCACAGAGAGAUGUUAUAGAAGCGGAUUCUUUUUGGUGCCUAUCGAAGUUUCUGGACAGUAUACAGGAUAAUUAUAUAUUUGCACAGCUUGGGAUUCAAUAUAAGGUGAACCAGCUGAAGGAGCUGAUCCGCCGCAUCGACCUGCCGCUGCACACGCACCUGCAGCACCACGGCGUCGACUACCUUCAGUUCUCCUUCCGCUGGAUGAACAACCUGCUCACCAGGGAGAUCCCCCUGCCCUGCACCAUCCGCCUGUGGGACACCUAUCUGGCCGAGUCUGACGGCUUCGCUACCUUCCAGCUAUAUGUCUGUGCAGCAUUCCUUCUCCACUGGCGCGAGCGUCUCAUGCUAGAACGCGACUUCCAAGGGCUCAUGAUCCUCCUGCAGAACGUACCAACACAGAAUUGGACGGACUCCAACAUCAGUGUACUGGUGGCGGAGGCCUACCGGUUAAAGUUCGCGUUCGCUGACGCCCCGAACCAUCUCAACGCGGGCAAGUCGGACAGGUGACGGGGCGAUGUCGGAUAAUCAGGUUUCUGUAUGUGACUACUGUGUAUUGCAAGAUUUUAUGAUACUGUACACUUCUAAAACUCAACUGUUGCAAGAUUGUAAGACACUGUGACAAUUAUAAACAGAAAUAGAUACCAUACACUAAAGAAAAAGCGAUCAACCACACUGGUGGCGAAGCCGGGAAUCGAACCCGGGUCUCGCGGCUACUCUAAAGCAAUGUUUUUUUCUCCAAAAAGUACUAAGACAGAACUGGACGGACUUCAACAUACUAGUGGUAGAGGACUACCGGUUAAAAUUCGCCUUCGCUAAUGUCCCGAACCUUCUCAACGCGGACAAGUCGGACAGGUGACGGGGCGAUGUCGGAUAAUCAGGUCUCUGUCACCAUUUUUGUAUUGCAAGAUUUUAUGAUACUGUACACUUCUAAACCUUAUGAUCUUCAAAACGUUGAACUCAAAAGGACUCCAAAAUGGCUACAUUUGACGACUGCUAUUUUCAAUAUGAUGCUGUAAUCUUAUAAUUUUGUGAAGGGGCCAUACAAACCAAGACGCUUCGCCUUAUAAAGAUAGACAUUUAAAG
Molecule: unclassified non-coding RNA, 2098 nt
Filed under: Leguminivora glycinivorella
Lineage: Eukaryota; Metazoa; Arthropoda; Insecta; Lepidoptera; Tortricidae
Description: tBC1 domain family member 22A, transcript variant X1
Source: RNAcentral